RNAcentral lists this small RNA (29 nucleotides) under Bombyx mori (domestic silkworm). RNAcentral's name for it is "ovarian small RNA-10958". Lineage: Eukaryota; Metazoa; Arthropoda; Insecta; Lepidoptera; Bombycidae. The record is from RNAcentral.
ACAAUAAUAAACGGACUCACCUAAUGGGU